CCCCAAUGGACGAAAGUCUGAGGGAGCGACGCCGCGUGAAUGAAGAAGCCCUUCGGGGUGUAAAAUUUCUUUCUUUAGGAAAAAUUCGUGAUGGUACUAAAGGAAUAAGGGGCCGCCAAACUCGUGCCAGCAGCGGCGGUAAUACGAGUGCCCGAGCGUUAUCCGGAAUUACUGGGCGUAAAGCGCUAAAAGGCGGUUUGAUAAGUCAGACGUCAAAUCUCCGAGCUCAACUCGGAGCCGGUGUCUG
Molecule: ribosomal RNA, 247 nt
Filed under: uncultured microorganism
Description: partial 16S ribosomal RNA
Rfam family: Bacterial small subunit ribosomal RNA
Source: RNAcentral